CACACACCGCCCGUCACACCACGAAAGUUGGUUCUACCCGAAGUGGCUGAGCUAACCCGCAAGGGGGGCAGGCUCCGAAGGUAGGGCUGAUGAUUGGGGUG
This 101-nucleotide ribosomal RNA is filed under the name uncultured bacterium. RNAcentral's name for it is "partial 16S ribosomal RNA". It matches the Rfam family "Bacterial small subunit ribosomal RNA", at positions 1384 to 1482 of the family's 1533-position model. The record is from RNAcentral.